GACGAACGCUGGCGGCGUGCCUAAUACAUGCAAGUAGAACGCUGAAGGAGGAGCUUGCUUCUCCGGAUGAGUUGCGAACGGGUGAGUAACGCGUAGGUAACCUGCCUGGUAGUGGGGGAUAACUAUUGGAAACGAUAGCUAAUACCGCAUAAUAACAGUUGUUGCAUGACAACUGUUUGAAAGGUGCAAUUGCACCACUACCAGAUGGACCUGCGUUGUAUUAGCUAGUUGGUGGGGUAACGGCUCACCAAGGCGACGAUACAUAGCCGACCUGAGAGGGUGAUCGGCCACACUGGGACUGAGACACGGCCCAGACUCCUACGGGGGGCAGCAGUAGGGAAUCUUCGGCAAUGGACGGAAGUCUGACCGAGCAACGCCGCGUGAGUGAAGAAGGUUUUCGGAUCGUAAAGCUCUGUUGUAAGAGAAGAACGAGUGUGAGAGUGGAAAGUUCACACUGUGACGGUAUCUUACCAGAAAGGGACGGCUAACUACGUGC
RNAcentral lists this ribosomal RNA (496 nucleotides) under uncultured Streptococcus sp. RNAcentral's name for it is "bacterial SSU rRNA". It matches the Rfam family "Bacterial small subunit ribosomal RNA", at positions 28 to 508 of the family's 1533-position model. The record is from RNAcentral. Lineage: Bacteria; Bacillati; Bacillota; Bacilli; Lactobacillales; Streptococcaceae.